GAUGAACGCUGGCGGCGUGCCUAAUACAUGCAAGUCGAGCGAACAGAUAAGGAGCUUGCUCCUUUGACGUUAGCGGCGGACGGGUGAGUAACACGUGGAUAACCUACCUAUAAGACUGGGAUAACUUCGGGAAACCGGCGCUAAUACCGGAUAACAUAUUGAACCGCAUGGUUCAAUAGUGAAAGGCGGCUUUGCUGUCACUUAUAGAUGGAUCCGCGCCGUAUUAGCUAGUUGGUAAGGUAACGGCUUACCAAGGCAACGAUACGUAGCCGACCUGAGAGGGUGAUCGGCCACACUGGAACUGAGACACGGUCCAGACUCCUACGGGAGGCAGCAGUAGGGAAUCUUCCGCAAUGGGCGAAAGCCUGACGGAGCAACGCCGCGUGAGUGAUGAAGGUCUUCGGAUCGUAAAACUCUGUUAUCAGGGAAGAACAAAUGUGUAAGUAACUGUGCACAUCUUGACGGUACCUGAUCAGAAAGCCACGGCUAACUACGUG
This 497-nucleotide ribosomal RNA is filed under the name uncultured bacterium. RNAcentral describes it as "partial 16S ribosomal RNA". It matches the Rfam family "Bacterial small subunit ribosomal RNA", at positions 28 to 507 of the family's 1533-position model. The record is from RNAcentral.